GUUGAGCUUUUGUUACCUAGUAACUACACAAGCCAGGAAGUACCAAUGACCGGAUUUGGGCUCUAUCCCAAUUCAGGGUCUGCAGCCUUAAAGGCCACAUUUUAAGGACGAUUAUGUCACAGCGACACGACGAAGGCUGUCCCAAUUCAAAGGCUGCUCCAAAUGCGGCCCUCAAAUGCGUCCUUAAUUUCCCUGAAUUUUAAGGAUGGGUCGGUGUAGCCUUCAUGGCCCAACAUAUCCCAGAUUUCAUAGCGCGGCCGUGGUGUGGAUAAUUUUGCCGAAAAAAACGGCGGAAGCGGAGCCGCCAAAGAGUAAACUUUCAGAACUUAUCACACAUUUGAUUUCCAUGUGUGACAACUGCAA
Molecule: long non-coding RNA, 363 nt
Organism: Oreochromis niloticus (Nile tilapia)
Lineage: Eukaryota; Metazoa; Chordata; Actinopteri; Cichliformes; Cichlidae
Exons: 2
Source: RefSeq, a predicted model, not a curated record